RNAcentral lists this transfer RNA (44 nucleotides) under Ceroplastes floridensis. Its description in RNAcentral is "tRNA-Trp". The record is from RNAcentral. Lineage: Eukaryota; Metazoa; Arthropoda; Insecta; Hemiptera; Coccidae.
AAGAAUAAUAAUUAAAUUUCAAAUUUAAAAAAAUAAAAUUCUUA